This 229-nucleotide ribosomal RNA is filed under the name uncultured bacterium. RNAcentral's name for it is "partial 16S ribosomal RNA". It matches the Rfam family "Bacterial small subunit ribosomal RNA", at positions 568 to 796 of the family's 1533-position model. The record is from RNAcentral.
UGCGCAGGCGGAAGAAUAAGUCAGUGGUGAAAUACUGCCGCUCAACGGUAGGGCUGCCAUUGAUACUGUUUUUCUUGAGCAUGGUUGAGGUAGGCGGAAUGUGCGGUGUAGCGGUGAAAUGCAUAGAUAUCGCCCAGAACGCCGAUUGCGAAGGCAGCUUACUAAACCAUUACUGACGCUGAGGCACGAAAGCGUGGGUAGCGAACAGGAUUAGAUACCCUGGUAGUCC